AACGAACGCUGGCGGCAUGCCUAACACAUGCAAGUCGAACGAGACCUUCGGGUCUAGUGGCGCACGGGUGCGUAACGCGUGGGAACCUGCCCUUAGGUUCGGAAUAACUCCCCGAAAGGGGUGCUAAUACCGGAUAAUGUCUUCGGACCAAAGAUUUAUCGCCUUUGGAUGGGCCCGCGUUGGAUUGGCUAGUUGGUAGGGUAAAAGCCUACCAAGGCGACGAUCCAUAGCUGGUCUGAGAGGAUGAUCAGCCACACUGGGACUGAGACACGGCCCAGACUCCUACGGGAGGCAGCGGUGGAGAAUAUUGGACAAGGGGGGAAAGCCUGAUCCAGCAAUGCCGCGUGAGUGAUGAAGGCCUUAGGGUUGUAAAGCUCUUUUACCCGGGAUGAUAAUGACAGUACCGGGAGAAUAAGCUCCGGCUAACUCCGUG
Molecule: ribosomal RNA, 433 nt
Filed under: uncultured bacterium
Lineage: Bacteria
Description: partial 16S ribosomal RNA
Rfam family: Bacterial small subunit ribosomal RNA
Source: RNAcentral